AAAUUACAGGAAGGGAGAGACAUCUCUGUCUUAAGUCAACACCUCAAGGGCCUCCUCACCCACAAUGACCUUGACAACUACCAGCGGCAGGGCUUCUGAGAGCAACUGGCUAAGGGACACAGGCUGGCAGAGAGCAUUGUCUGCAAGCUCAGCCCAGCCACUGUGUUUGCAGUACGUGAAGUGGGAAAUAGCUGACGGGACAUUUCUAAAUUUAUGUGCAGAAAAUCAUGAAGAUGAGGAGGAUGAACAAGCACAAGAAACACUCACUCCCAGCAUGGAGCUGCAGGAGGUUGAAAAGAAGGAAGUCGUGCAGGACUCACAGGGUGAAUGUGUUUUGCCCUCUUCAGUUUGCCAAGAAGAUUCUGACUGUGACCAGCCUUACAGUGAUGGCAAAUUCACAUUUGCUGAACAGGAAGUUGGCUCUGCUCUGGAUAUAAACUGUGAAUGUUCCCAUCCUAAAGGGGAUGAAAUUUCAAAUAUUCUCCCAGUUUAUUUGCAGAAAACCAAAAUGAUCAUGAGCAGGCGAAAGGACAAGAGCCAGUUGCCUCCAGGCUCUGCAGGGAGCUGCCACAGAAGGUCGAGCAUGACAUACCAUGGGACCCGCUGGAUGAAUACUAUUUGACUUCUUCAGAUCUUCCUGGCCUGUCCAACUCCUACUGUCCUUAUAGGAAUGCUGCUACCAUCUCAUUUGAGGAACUGGAAGUCUAUUCUGCUCUAGAUAUAACUUAUACCAAGUACUUCUGGAAUUAAGAAAAAAUAUUACUGAUUUGAAAGAAACUGCCUCAUAAAAAAUAGCUUCUCCACUUGAUGAAAAAAAUCUAAAACAGCAAAUCAAGUGAAAGCCCAAAUGGACCACUGGAGGGAUCCUUUACAGAGAGUCAACAUCACAACCACAAACAAUUCUCCACAAUUUUUACUCCAAAAAACAGGUGUGAUGGGAGAAAUCCCAGCCCUUCAGCCUCCAAUUGUGCUAUAUCGCUAAGGGGACAAAAGCCUAGAUCCACACAGUUUUGAGAGUCCAUCACCAAAAUCAGGAGCAACUGGAAAAAGACAACAUGAGAAACUGAACGUUCUUUGCCACCAGCAGGGCUGUGCUAGGAGC
Molecule: long non-coding RNA, 1102 nt
Filed under: Equus asinus (donkey)
Lineage: Eukaryota; Metazoa; Chordata; Mammalia; Perissodactyla; Equidae
Description: lncRNA (ENSEASG00005036002.1)
Source: RNAcentral